This is an RNA transcript of Neoarius graeffei (lesser salmon catfish), 1600 nucleotides long. RefSeq lists it as uncharacterized. The transcript is spliced from 9 exons. Lineage: Eukaryota; Metazoa; Chordata; Actinopteri; Siluriformes; Ariidae. The record is from RefSeq and is a predicted model, not a curated record.
ACUUUCUGACUUAAAACAUAAAGUGCUUGAUUUACUCUUUGAAGUUACGUGAUGGUGGCAACGAUGCAGUUCGUCUUCUUUUUCUACAUAUUCAUCCCAAUCACAGUGUCUGUUGAGAUUUUUAAGCUGGUUAACAGUUCUGUUCAACUGGAUGUACAGACAAAAGAUUAUGAGUUCACCGACUUCACAUGGUCAUUUAACAAAAGUAAAAACAUUGUGAAAUACUAUAAAAAUUCUCAGAGUAUAGCAUUCACUGAUUAUAAAAACAGAGUGGAGUUGAAUGAGAAAACCCAAAGUCUGACACUGAAGAACUUGCAGAAGACUGAUAGUGGACUCUAUGAAGCAGUGGCAUCUGGUGAACAAAACCGAAUUGUGGCCGAGUACCAAUUAACUGUGUUGGAUCCAGUGGAGAAACCAGUCCUUAAUGGCCCUAAGCAGCAAAGCAAUGAAACUUGUAAUGUGACUCUCAGCUGUGAAGCUCAGAAACUCUCAGUCACCUCUCACUACUACAGUGAUAACUGUGAUAUGAAGAAAGAGACAACUGAAGACGGGGUCCUUUCCCUCUCAUUGUAUGUCAGUAACAGCUUCAUUAUUUGCAAUCAUAGCAACCCAGUCAGCUGGAAAAAUAUAACCAUAGAGAUGGAAGAAGUGAAAAAACUCUGCCCUUUUGAAGGAGAUAAAAAUCAUAAUGGCAUAAUUAUUGGCUCAGUAGUGUUUGUCAUCAUCAUCAUCAUCAUCAUCAUCAUCAUCAUCUCCACCUUUAACUGGCAUAAGAAACAUAGGACAACAGGUUCUGGUAAGGCAGUUUAUGAAGAAGUUAAGUGGGUAAAAAAGUCACUCGAGAUGUCAGAGAACCCUGAACAUCCUGGUACUAUUUACUAUACAGUCAUGAGGCCAGCCCAGACUUGUAGUAAUGAUGAGAGCACUGUAAGCACCGCAAGCCCUAGCAACAAGAAAGAGCAGGGUGAGAGAGGAGACAGUGGACCAGAGGCCAACAGGGAUGAUUAUGCAGGGUCACAGAAUCAAAGAGCAGGAAGCAUCCAUGAUGUACCACCUAAAACCGUGCUGUAGUGAACAAGGCUGGUCAACAUGUGUAAGAAGCCCAGCUCGAUGGAAACAUGUUUUGGUCACAGGCAGGCUGGAGCCUAUCCCAGCUGACUAUGGGCAAGGUACACCCUGGACAAGUCACCAGGUCAUCGCAGGGCUGAUAUGUAGAGACAAACAACCAUUCACACCUACGGUCAAUUUAGAGCCACCAAUUAGCCUAACCUGCAUGUCUUUGGACUGUGGGGAAAACCAGAGCACCCGGAGGAAACCCACGCAGACACGGGGAGAACAUGCAAACUCCAUACAGAAAGGCCCUCGUCGGCCACUGGGCUCGAACCCAGAACCUUCUUGCUGUGAGGUGACAGUGCUAACCACUACACCACCAUGUCGCCCUGAAUAAACAAAGUUGAUUUUGUUAAAGUCAUAAAUUAAGAAUGAUUAUUUUAAACCUAGUAAGUAAGUAAAAGAAAUUACCAAGGAUCAUGAAUCAUGUAUUAUUAAAACAUGUUUUUGUUUUCAUGUGUUUUUUUACUUGCGAAAAUCAGAUAUUUUU